RNAcentral lists this ribosomal RNA (400 nucleotides) under uncultured bacterium. Its description in RNAcentral is "bacterial SSU rRNA". It matches the Rfam family "Bacterial small subunit ribosomal RNA", at positions 355 to 772 of the family's 1533-position model. The record is from RNAcentral.
UGGGGAAUAUUGCACAAUGGGGGAAACCCUGAUGCAGCAACGCCGCGUGGAGGAUGACACAUUUCGGUGCGUAAACUCCUUUUAUAAGAGAAGAUAAUGACGGUAUCUUAUGAAUAAGCACCGGCUAACUCCGUGCCAGCAGCCGCGGUAAUACGGAGGGUGCAAGCGUUACUCGGAAUCACUGGGCGUAAAGAGCGUGUAGGCGGAUUUGUAAGUUGGGAGUGAAAGCCUAUGGCUCAACCAUAGAACUGCUUCCAAAACUGCAUGUCUAGAGUGUGGGAGAGGUAGAUGGAAUUUCUGGUGUAGGGGUAAAAUCCGUAGAGAUCAGAAGGAAUACCGAUUGCGAAGGCGAUCUACUGGAACAUAACUGACGCUGAGACGCGAAAGCGUGGGGAGCAAA